AUAUAACCAGAUCUACUUUACCCUUCUUCCCCAGCUAGCACUUCCAAUUCCCCAAAUCUCGUUUUUUACCUUUCUCACAAAACCCUAUCUCUCCUUCUUCAACAGCGAGCUUCCCCAAUUCUUCAGCUUUUAAUUUCAGUGGUCACAACUACAAAACUAUCCCAAGAAUGAGGUCUAACCACGCCGCCAUGUUUCUCGGUAGAAUUUUGUCGAAUUCUUCAUCUAAAUUCUCCACUUUUGCCAUCACUUCUCCACAUUAUCAAUCAUUUCUUCUACCCAGUUUUCAUUUUGAUAAUGCCAGCUGCCAAAUGAGGAGACACUUCUCCGCCUAUCCCAGAUUCGAUUUUGAAUCUAUACGUGAACCCAAUGAUGCCGUCGCUCUAUUUCAGGAUAUGAUGAGAACGGAGCCGCUUCCUUAUGCUUCUGUUUUCACGAAAUUGCUGAGUACUGUGGUGAAGCUGAAACAAUACUCUCUUGCCCUUCAUCUGAUCGACGAAAUGCUUCAAAGGCAUGUUCCUGUAAAUCAGUACAUAUUGAAUAUUGCAAUUGAUUGCUACUGCCGACAGAAAAGACCUGAUUGUGGGUUUGCGAUCUUAGGCAGUUUUUUCAAGCGUGGGUUCGAGCCUACUGUGGUAACCUUUACCACUCUACUCAAAGGUCUAUUGUUGGUUGGAAGGAUCCCAGAGGCAGCUAAAUUGUUGGGGAAGCUGUCGGCCUACCAACUGUGCGAGCCCGAUGAGUAUACGUAUAAUACUAUAAUUAAUGGGUUAUGCAAAGCUGGAGAUAUUCUACAGGCGAUCGAUUUGCUCUGCUCAUUGGAAAAAGGAAAAGGGAGCUGCAAACCCAAUGUCUAUGCUUACAAUGCAGUCAUUGAUGGUCUAUGCAAGGAAGGAAAGGUGGACGAUGCUCUCCAACUCUUCUCCUCUUUGGGUGAUAAGGGGAUUUCACCCAAUGUUGUGACAUAUAAUUCAAUAAUUGAGGGGUUAUGCAAUAGGAGAAGAAUGGACGAGGCUGAACACGUUUUGAAGAAGAUGAUAGCUGAUAUGGUCUGUCCAGAUGUGUGGACGUGUAAUAUCUUUGUGGAUGCUUGGUGCAGAGAUGGAAAGCUGGAAGACGCCGAGCAUAUGUUGAUAUCUAUGAAGGAGAUUGAUGUUCAACCCGACAUUGUCACAUACAACGCAUUGAUAAAUGGAUAUUGUAUGCUAGGAAAACUGGACGAAGCUGAACGCAUUUUCCAACUGGCAAUGAGCUCUGGAAUGAAGCCCGAUAUCAUAAGCUACAAUAGCUUGAUGAACGGGUAUUGCAAAAGUGGGCGAGUCGAUGAAGUUUCAAGACUUUUUACCAUAAUUCCCGCCAAAAGGUUAAAGCGCGAUGUGUUUUCUUAUAACAUAAUGCUAGAGGCUUUAUUUCGUGAAAGCAAAUGUGAAGGCGGCUUGAAAUUGUUCAAAGAAAUGGAAGCUCUACAAGUGUCUCCGGAUAUAAGGACUUAUAAUAUCUUGUUGGAUGGUCUAUGCAGUGCUCAUCGUAUCAAUGAAGCAUUUUCUGUGUUGCAUACCAUGGAAGAUAAAGGCAUCGUUCCAGACAUAGUAACAUAUAGUAUCCUCAUUGAGGGAUUGUGCAACGACAACAAAGUCAGAGAAGCAAAAGAUCUGUUCGACAAGCUUCCAUCCAAAGGUUUGCAGCCUGAAGUCAUAACAGAUAAUAUUCUCAUUUGUGCACUUGGCGAAAGAGGGCAGAUAAAGGAGGCUAAAGAUCUGUUCCAUGAGCUUCCAUCCAAAGGUUUGCAGCCUGAUGUCGUAACAUAUAGUAUCCUCAUUGGUGCACUUUGCAAAGAAGGGCAGAUAGAGGAGGCUAAAGAUCUGUUCCAUGAGCUCCAAUCCAAGGGUUUGCAGCCUGACGUCAUAACUUAUACAAUCCUUAUCGGUGCACUUUGUGAGGAAGCGCGGAUAGAGGAGGCUAAGGAUUUGAUGACACAAAUGGUAAGCAACGGUUGCUUGCCAAAUAGUGUAACAUACAAUGUUUUUGUUCGAGGUCUUCUCAAAAUGAACAAGAUGCUUGAUGCAAUGCCACUGUUGGAAGAGAUGGAUUCAAGGGGAUUCACACUUGACAAAACUGCAUAAACGAUGUUGAUUGAAGCUGUGAAAUGGGAAGUAGUAGGCACUGUUGGUGGGAUUGUUUACUUGGAUUGGGAGUUGCACAGCUAUGCACCUUGACUUGCAACUUCUGCAUUCAUUCUUGUAAGUUGAUGUGAACUCGAGACCCUCCAAUACCUCCUGUGGUGUCAAAAUCUGAGCAUUGAAAAUAAUAAGCAAUUAGUUUUCUUGGGGUGAAAAUAGGAAACCAUAGAAAAGCAUCACCUUGAACAAGAACUGCUGCAAGAAACAGUAUGAAUAGGAACAAGUGAGAGAGAGAGAUGUUAAUGCUGAGCUCCAUCUGUGUAUUAAUUGUUUUUCACUUGUCAAUAGUUUUUAACUGCCUCAUGUUUGGGUGCAAGGGGUUUCACACUUGACGAAACUACUUUUUCGAUGUCGAUUGAACCUAUGGUAAGGGAAGGUAGAGAUAGUGUUCUAUUUGAUAAGGUUAAGAAACCCGUACCAAAGGACUUGUAUUCUAGAUUGGUGUUAUGUUGUGUUAGAAGAAUUAUUUUACUAGAAAGUAAGGGGAAAGUACAUUUAUAGCUUAUUUGUUUGUUUAAUCUCGAUGUAAUGAUGAUUUUAAAUGCUUGGAUUUCAUAGCUUUAUCAUAUAGAUGAGUAGGAUUUCUCUUCAUUAUAAUCAUAUAUUUAUUUUUUGUAAUACAUGUUAGUUUUAGCUAUAAGUGUGUGCUUCAGUAUAUAUUAUGAAUGUUACUAUUACACGACGUGACAAAGGAUUAGAUCUAUACUUUGGGAUGUUACUUAUUCAAACCUCUUUGAGAAUAUUAUUUAAUUUUUUUUUAUCUAAACGUAUAUUCACAAAAUGCCCUUAAAAAUUAAUUUGUUAUGAUUUUUUAAUUUGUUUCAUGUUAUAUCAAUAUCUAUAUCUA
Molecule: RNA transcript, 3024 nt
Organism: Salvia miltiorrhiza (redroot sage)
Lineage: Eukaryota; Viridiplantae; Streptophyta; Magnoliopsida; Lamiales; Lamiaceae
Gene name: pentatricopeptide repeat-containing protein At1g63330-like
Exons: 3
Source: RefSeq, a predicted model, not a curated record